UGAGGAAUAUUGGUCAAUGGACGCAAGUCUGAACCAGCCAAGUAGCGUGCAGGAUGACGGCCCUAUGGGUUGUAAACUGCUUUUAUAUGGGGAUAAAGUGGGGAACGUGUUCCCUUUUGCAGGUACCAAAUGAAUAAGGACCGGCUAAUUCCGUGCCAGCAGCCGCGGUAAUACGGAAGGUUCGGGCGUUAUCCGGAUUUAUUGGGUUUAAAGGGAGCGUAGGCCGUUUGGUAAGCGUGUUGUGAAAUGUAGGAGCUCAACUUCUAGAUUGCAGCGCGAACUGUCAGACUUGAGUGCGCACAACGUAGGCGGAAUUCAUGGUGUAGCGGUGAAAUGCUUAGAUAUGACGAAGAACUCCGAUUGCGAAGGCAGCUUGCGGGAGCAAAACUGACGCUGAAGCUCGAAAGUGCGGGUAUCGAACAGG
RNAcentral lists this ribosomal RNA (424 nucleotides) under Verrucomicrobiota bacterium. RNAcentral's name for it is "Verrucomicrobia bacterium partial 16S ribosomal RNA". It matches the Rfam family "Bacterial small subunit ribosomal RNA", at positions 355 to 776 of the family's 1533-position model. Lineage: Bacteria; Pseudomonadati; Verrucomicrobiota. The record is from RNAcentral.